This 279-nucleotide ribosomal RNA is filed under the name uncultured archaeon. RNAcentral's name for it is "partial 16S rRNA". It matches the Rfam family "Archaeal small subunit ribosomal RNA", at positions 1047 to 1325 of the family's 1478-position model. The record is from RNAcentral.
GAGACCCACGCCAACAGUUGCCAGCAUGUCCUCCGGGAUGGUGGGGACACUGUUGGGACCGCCUCUGCUAAAGAGGAGGAAGGAAUGGGCAACGGUAGGUCAGCAUGCCCCGAAUUAUCCGGGCUACACGCGGGCUACAAUGGUCAGGACAAUGGGUAUCGACACCGAGAGGUGAAGGCAAUCUCUUAAACCUGUCCUUAGUUCGGAUUGCGGGCUGCAACUCGCCCACAUGAAGCUGGAAUCCGUAGUAAUCGCGUCUCAAAAUGGCGCGGUGAAUAU